RNAcentral lists this long non-coding RNA (1190 nucleotides) under Marmota monax (woodchuck). The record is from RNAcentral. Lineage: Eukaryota; Metazoa; Chordata; Mammalia; Rodentia; Sciuridae.
CUUCAAAUGGGGCAUGAUUAUAACUUUAAUGGCUCUUGCAGGUAGAACUGACUCGGGUGAUGUGGGAUGUUGGCAGCAGUUUAAUUACUUUAGGGUAAUGAUGCGAAUCCCAGUUAGGGGCCGAUUUUGGCAUUGCUGGCUAUUAUUUGCAAUAAUUAAUAUGAUUAAGCAUCCUGCCUCACAAUCUCUUUUAUUCUCCUCUCCGUACUAAUAUUGGGGGCCUGUCUUCUGAAAGUAUUGUUUGCUCAAAAUUUCCUUCCCUUCAUUUUUAUACGUAGGGCAGGAUAUAUACACCUGAGAACACAAGGACCUUAUUUAUGCAUAAAGAAUGUUUUUCUGGAAUCUUUUUGCACAGAUGAAGCAGAGGAGGAACUUUUCCACUUUCUUAUUCCCCUUUGUCUUGACUCCUUUCCUUGCUUGCUUGUGGUUUGUGUGGCUCUCUGGAGUGAAUCCACCGAUGAAUCAAUGGGCAUCUAUGCCAUGAUGCUAUCCAAGAAUGAUAACAGCCAGUGUUUGUUGUUUACUGUAGAAUGGCUGUAAGCACCUGACUUUUCUUAUCUCAGUUCACCAAAAUAACUGCAUGAUUCCUGUUUCACAGAUUUAAAGUAAAAUUGUACGGAUUAGACAACUUGCCUGAAAUAGCAUACCUAGGAAGCCAUAGCACAGACAUUUAAGUCCAGGUGGUCUGUGACUUCACAGGAAGAGCUUUUCCACACUAAUUUCUACUGAAAGACGGUAGUGCUAAGGAUAACUUCUCUCUCAAAAAUGACAGUCAUUCCUGCAAUUCAUAUCCUGCAACAUAUAGAGACUUUAUUAUUUUAUUAUAUUAUAUGCUAAGGCCAUCCUAGAGGCUCAGACACAGGAGAAAACUAGAUACAUCCUGGCCCUCAAAGUGGUCAUGGCUUUCAGGAGAAAAUUAGAGCAGCAUGUGAUGAUGUUAUGAUGGAAAAUUAUAGAAAAUGUCUUCUAAAAAUAAUGGUAAUGUGGUCACUCAGAGGAAUUUGACUAAAAAAAAAAAAUCUCAGUGAACUCCAGCCACUGGAUCAUUUUCUGAAAAAAUAGGAAGAAAAGCCAAGGGACAGGACAUAGAUGAUACCCUCACUAUCAUCAAAAAUUAGCAAUCACUGAGCAUAACCUGCAGUCGAGUGAGAAGUUUAUGGAUUCUGGAACCCCACAGACUUGGUCUCAAG